AGGCUUUGGGGAACCAGGGGAUGGAAGAGUGGAGAAGAAUACGGGCUUUGUAGUAACACAGUUCAAAUAUCAAUCCUGCCACCUAUUAACGAGGGCAGGUAACUUCAGGUUCCUGAGACCUAGGAUCUGUCUUCUGUGAAAGAGGCAUAUGUACUUCACAGAACAAGAAAGAUCUGGAUGAGCAGAGAUUUAUGGAAUUUACUUUUCCAGUUUUGGUAGCAUUCCAAAGCCUGGGGAGGAAACGUGCAGCAAGCUUUUCUUCACUGGGACUAGAUUGUAUUUGCCCAAAGAAGGAAGACAGAUCCAAUAAACCAGGCCAAGAUACCUGCAGAUACCCCAGGCCUAGCGUGAAACUGUGGCUGGGCUCUUGUGCUACUGCCCCUCUGCAGUAGCUCUGAAAUGUGCCAGGUCUCCUCCAACCUUGAUAGGAGGUUAGCCUUUCCCAUCACCUUGAUGCUGCUCCUGGCUUUCUCAUUUCUCUCUUCUUGGGCAUGACUGCCUCUCUUCCUUUGUCCAUGCAUUCAUGGUAUAUUGAUCAUCAGCAGUAGUAAAGUCUGCCUGUGUCUUUGAGAGGUUCCUCCAGCCACAGGUCCACAGCACUGCUGGCAAAAGGCCCUCCAAGUGGUCAUGACCUUGGAGUACUUGGAGUUUGGAUGGAGGAGAGUGGGAGGUAUGAAAAAGCCAAGUGAAACCUUGAUGAUUUCCCUUAAAGAAAGUAGGCUGGUGCCCAGGGGAGGGCCAAAGAAAGGAAUGCUGAAUUCGCUAAUUCUGAAAAGAAUGACUAAGCUCUAACCUACAGCACAUUGCAGCCUGCAAGUGACAUUUCCCGUAAAACCUCCAGCAGCUAAACCUGACACACUACGCAAAUAAUUUAAUUAAAUAAGAAAGGAAAAAAGGAAGAAAAUGCCUAUAGAGCUUUUCAAGAACUUGAAGUGUGACACACCCAUGCAGGAGUUAAAAGUUGUCUUUCAACAGCAUUAUAGCUUGGUAAGCAAUGGAGAACCCAACUAAUCAUUAAUAAGUGGUUUUGUUAGAAUUUUUGUUAAACUAAAGAUAAAUACAGUAUGUUUAGCUACUGGGGUAAUAACCUAAACUAGUCUGUGAAAGAAAAGGUUAACUGAAAUUGGGAUGCCUGCAAAUCAUCUAGAAUUUUAGUGGAUCUUAUUUGUUAAAAACAUCAUCACAGAUUUAUGUGUAGAGGGAAGUGGUAAGUGAAACAGAAAAUCAGUAAUUAGAUA
This 1238-nucleotide long non-coding RNA is filed under the name Homo sapiens (human). Its description in RNAcentral is "HSALNT0115007". Lineage: Eukaryota; Metazoa; Chordata; Mammalia; Primates; Hominidae. The record is from RNAcentral.